AGCAGCCGCGGUAAUUCCAGCUCCAAUAGCGUAUAUUAAAGUUGUUGCAGUUAAAAAGCUCGUAGUUGAAUUUCGGGAUCAAAUUGUCGGUCGUGCCUCGGUACGUACUGGCGUUAUUGGUUCCUCCCUUCUGAAGAACCGCGAUGUCAUUAAUUUGGUGUCGCGGGGAAUCAGGACUGUUACUUUGAAAAAAUUAGAGUGUUUAAAGCAGGCUCGCGCUUGAAUACAUUAGCAUGGAAUAAUGAAAUAGGACGUUUGAUUCUAUUUUGUUGGUUUCCAGGAUCGACGUAAUGAUUAAUAGGGAUAGUUGGGGGCAUUAGUAUUCAAUUGUCAGAGGUGAAAUUCUUGGAUUUAUUGAAGACUAACUACUGCGAAAGCAUUUGCCAAGGAUGUUUUCAUUAAUCAAGAACGAAAGUUAGGGGAUCGAAGACGAUCAGAUACCGUCGUAGUCUUAACCAUAAACUAUGCCGACUAGGGAUCGGAUGAUGUUAAUUUUUUAAUGACUCAUUCGGCGCCUUAC
Molecule: ribosomal RNA, 520 nt
Filed under: uncultured Glomus
Lineage: Eukaryota; Fungi; Glomeromycota; Glomeromycetes; Glomerales; Glomeraceae
Description: SSU rRNA
Rfam family: Eukaryotic small subunit ribosomal RNA
Source: RNAcentral